Lolium rigidum is the source of this 96-nucleotide small nucleolar RNA. The record is from RefSeq and is a predicted model, not a curated record. NCBI's taxonomy places the organism in Eukaryota, Viridiplantae, Streptophyta, Magnoliopsida, Poales, Poaceae.
UCGAUGCAGAUGAAGAGACAUGUUUAUGGGUAAUUUGCGUCUGAGGCAUUUCAGUGAUGUCACACUCUUUUUCACCUUGGAGAUCUGAUGCAUCCC